CGACGAUAGAAAAUAGCAGAAGUUGUCAGAGAUGCGCACACCCCUCGUCACGCGCCUCUUGGCUAGCAAGUUGUGUAGAACUUUGCUCGAGGACAUUCCGGCAACCAUCUGUUUCCGGAAGAACUCUGAGCGCAGGGCAGGAAGCAGAGUUCGCAAAUUUGCGGGGAAAGGUGGUUGUCUGCCAAUACGCCUGUUACUGUGAAAAUGCUCCGUUUGAUUUAUUUUCUCUCUCCACUCAACUUUUCUAAAGACUUAACAGGAGAAGAGAUCAAAAACAUGCAUAUUUGAGCGAGACAGAGACAGACAGAGAGAGCGAGAGAAACAUAGAGAGAGAGAGAUGGCUAGAGGAAGAUUGAGCAAGAUGGAAGGAAGAGAGACCAGGGAAAGUACAGCAUCCAAUGAUUUGGGCCAGUUCCAGAGGGGUUAUAGAGCAGGUGGGUGCUCCACUGUUCACCAUCAGGUGUUGUAUUUUCUAUUCUACUGCAGAGAUGAGACCACCUGGCCUCACUGAGUCCCACCUGACACCAUGGCAAUCAGGAAAUGGAGUAAUGACAUCACAGUGUUUCAUUAAAACAUGAUAAUGUAUAUCGACACAUACGUUGUUUCAUUGUUACUGUCUGUGUAUUU
Molecule: long non-coding RNA, 627 nt
Filed under: Salmo salar (Atlantic salmon)
Lineage: Eukaryota; Metazoa; Chordata; Actinopteri; Salmoniformes; Salmonidae
Description: lncRNA (ENSSSAG00000106512.1, ENSSSAG00020068417.1)
Source: RNAcentral